CUCCCUUUCACGGACAUCUCCGCAAAGACUCCUGCCAUGAAGGCUAUCCUGGUGAUCGCUCUGAUCGUUUUGCCUCGUUGCAGAAUCAUACGCGGCAAUUCCACUACGGCAAGCCUGCCUGCUUCCACCAGAGACUGGACUGUGUAAGGCUCGCAUCCCGAGGUACCACUACAGUACGGGCUGCUGGCACUUGCCAAGAGUUCAUAUACGGUGGUUGUGGUGGCAACGCAAACAACUUCAGGUCAUCAGUGAGUGUUUGGCUGCUUGCUCAGGCACCAGAGGUUGAAGCGGAC
Ornithodoros turicata is the source of this 293-nucleotide long non-coding RNA. RefSeq lists it as uncharacterized. The record is from RefSeq and is a predicted model, not a curated record. Lineage: Eukaryota; Metazoa; Arthropoda; Arachnida; Ixodida; Argasidae. The transcript has 3 exons.